Molecule: ribosomal RNA, 113 nt
Filed under: Mesopusillimonas faecipullorum
Lineage: Bacteria; Pseudomonadati; Pseudomonadota; Betaproteobacteria; Burkholderiales; Alcaligenaceae
Source: RNAcentral
CUUGACGACCAUAGCAAGGUGGUCCCACUCCUUCCCAUCCCGAACAGGACAGUGAAACGCCUUUGCGCCGAUGAUAGUGCACGUCCGUGUGUGAAAGUAGGUCAUCGUCAGGC